CUUCAAUGCGCUGCACCUGUUCCUGCACAGCCUGGUGGAGCAUCUGCGCCUGCAGGAGGCGAGGAAGGAGGUGUCGGUGGAGGAGCUGGCGUUCAUCAAGCCGCCCCCCAGCUCCGCGGCCUCCGCUGCCACCUCAGCCACCGAGACCCUCCCCGCGGUGCAGAACUCCAGCUCCAUCUUCCACCAGAUGCACGAGAGGAUCACUGCCAUCGAGAGGCAGCUCCGGUUCCUGAAUGAGCCCCCUGACACCGCCGAGCUGCUGGCCCGCAGCCAGGGCAUGGGCCAGCCCGCCCUGGACAUGUGGCAGAUGAUGCAGCUGAAGAAGAAGCUGGAGCUGAAUGAGGAGGGCAUGACCAAGGCCAUGAACACGUUGCAGGACCUGCUGAAUAGCAUUUGUUCUCUGAAAAUCGCCACGGAGGGCUUUCAGCAAGAACUGGCGCAGCUGAAAGAAGACGUUGCCCAGAUCAACGCAGAAGAAAUGAAAAAGCGGCUGAAGUGCCUGGACAAACAAGCCAGGAUGAUGGAAGAAAUGAAGGAGCAACUGGGGCUCGUGAAAGAAAGGGUCAGCCUGUCUGCCAGUGCCUCGGAUGUGGUGUGCUGGAGUGCCCUUUGCGAGACGCUCACCGGCAAAGUGAGUAUGGCUGAAUUGCAUCCUCACCCUGAAGGCCAACCUGGCACCUCUCUGU
This 686-nucleotide long non-coding RNA is filed under the name Notechis scutatus (mainland tiger snake). Its description in RNAcentral is "lncRNA (ENSNSUG00000003772.1)". Lineage: Eukaryota; Metazoa; Chordata; Lepidosauria; Squamata; Elapidae. The record is from RNAcentral.